Molecule: ribosomal RNA, 395 nt
Filed under: uncultured bacterium
Lineage: Bacteria
Description: partial 16S ribosomal RNA
Rfam family: Bacterial small subunit ribosomal RNA
Source: RNAcentral
AAAAUUGAACAAGGGGGGAAACCCUGAUGCCGCAACGCCGGGGGAGGGAAGAAGGCCUCCGGGUGGAAAAGCCCUUUCCUAAGGAAAGAAAGGGACGGUACCUAAGGAGGAAGCCCCGCUCACCACCGGGCAAGCAGCCGCGGUAAUACGUAGGGGGCGAGCGUUAUCCGGAAUUACUGGGCGUAAAGGGUGCGUAGGCGGCCUUUUAAGUCAGAUGUGAAAGGCUACGGCUUAACCGUAGUUAGCAUUUGAAACUAAAAGGCUUGAGUGCAGGAGAGGAGAGUGGAAUUCCUAGUGUAGCGGUGAAAUGCGUAGAUAUUAGGAGGAACACCAGUGGCGAAGGCGACUCUCUGGACUGCAACUGACGCUGAGGCACGAAAGCGUGGGGAGCGAAC